This 250-nucleotide ribosomal RNA is filed under the name uncultured bacterium. RNAcentral describes it as "partial 16S ribosomal RNA". It matches the Rfam family "Bacterial small subunit ribosomal RNA", at positions 355 to 618 of the family's 1533-position model. The record is from RNAcentral.
UCGAGAAUAUUCGUCAAUGCCCGAAAGGGUGAACGAGCGAUGCCGCGUGUAGGAUGAAGGCCUUCGGGUCGUAAACUACUUUUCUCAGGGAAGAAUUUUGAUGACGGUACCUGAGGAAUAAGAGGUUACUAACUCUGUGCCAGCAGUAGCGGUAAUACAGAGACCUCAAGCGUUAUCCGGAUUUAUUGGGCGUAAAGAGUGGGUAGGUGGAUAUGUUAGUCAGAUGUCAAAUCUUCCGACUCAAUCGGAA